CAAACUGAAGAUGGCGACCGGCACACGGGUGAGUAACACGUAUCCAACCUGCCGAUAACUCCGGAAUAGCCUUUCGAAAGAAAGAUUAAUACCGGAUAGUAUACGAAUAUCGCAUGAUAUUUUUAUUAAAGAAUUUCGGUUAUCGAUGGGGAUGCGUUCCAUUAGUUUGUUGGCGGGGUAACGGCCCACCAAGACUACGAUGGAUAGGGGUUCUGAGAGGAAGGUCCCCCACAUUGGAACUGAGACACGGUCCAA
RNAcentral lists this ribosomal RNA (255 nucleotides) under uncultured bacterium. RNAcentral's name for it is "partial 16S ribosomal RNA". It matches the Rfam family "Bacterial small subunit ribosomal RNA", at positions 77 to 334 of the family's 1533-position model. The record is from RNAcentral.